Molecule: small nuclear RNA, 158 nt
Organism: Sphaerodactylus townsendi
Lineage: Eukaryota; Metazoa; Chordata; Lepidosauria; Squamata; Sphaerodactylidae
Product: U1 spliceosomal RNA
Exons: 1
Source: RefSeq, a predicted model, not a curated record
AUACUUACCUGGCAGGGGAGACACCAUGAUCAUGAAGGUGGUUUUCCCAGGGUGAGGCUCAUCCAUUGCACUGUGGGUGUGCUGAUCCCUGCGAUUUCCCCAAAUGCGGGAAAAUCGACUGCAAUUGUAUCUAAGUGAAGAUGCAUUCCUAUUUCAUU